CAAACCCUUUCUUGGGGUAGUAUUUAUUAGAUGGAAACCAACCCCUUCGGGGUGAUGUGGUGAUUCAUAAUAAGUUUGCGGAUCGCCGGUGGCGAUGGAUCAUUCAAGUUUCUGCCCUAUCAGCUUUGGACGGUAAGGUAUUGGCUUACCGUGGCUUUAACGGGUAACGGGGAAUUAGGGUUCGAUUCCGGAGAGGGGGCCUGAGAGAUGGCCACCACAUCCAAGGAAGGCAGCAGGCGCGUAAAUUACCCAAUCUUGACACAAGGAGGUAGUGACAAUAAAUAACAAUGCCGGGCCUUAUAGGUCUGGCAAUUGGAAUGAGAACAAUUUAAACCCCUUAUCGAGGAUCAAUUGGAGGGCAAGUCUGGUGCCAGCAGCCGCGGUAAUUCCAGCUCCAAUAGCGUAUAUUAAACACGUU
Molecule: ribosomal RNA, 418 nt
Filed under: Amphora coffeiformis
Lineage: Eukaryota; Bacillariophyta; Bacillariophyceae; Surirellales; Surirellaceae
Description: SSU rRNA
Rfam family: Eukaryotic small subunit ribosomal RNA
Source: RNAcentral